AGUGAACGCUGGCGGUAGGCCUAACACAUGCAAGUCGAACGGCAGCACAGUAAGCGCUUGCUCUUACGGGUGGCGAGUGGCGGACGGGUGAGGAAUACAUCGGAAUCUACUUUUUCGUGGGUGAUAACGUAGGGAAACUGACGCUAAUACAUCAUAUGACGUACGGGUGAAAGCAGGGGAUCUUCGCGCUUUUCGUGUCAGUAUUAGCCGAUGUCGGAUUAGCUAGUUGGUGGGGUAAAGGCUCACCAAGGCGACGAUCCGUAGCUGGUCUGAGAGGAUGAUCAGCCACACUGGAACUGAGACACGGUCCAGACUCCUACGGGAGGCAGCAGUGGGGAAUAUUGGACAAUGGGCGAAAGCCUGAUCCAGCCAUACCGCGUGGGUGAAGAAGGCCUUCGGGUUGUAAAGCCCUUUUGUUGGGAAAGAAAAGCAGCAGGUUAAUACCCCGCUGUUCUGACGGUACCCAAAGAAUAAGCACCGGCUAACUUCGUG
RNAcentral lists this ribosomal RNA (492 nucleotides) under uncultured bacterium. Its description in RNAcentral is "partial 16S ribosomal RNA". It matches the Rfam family "Bacterial small subunit ribosomal RNA", at positions 29 to 507 of the family's 1533-position model. The record is from RNAcentral.